UGAGGAAUAUUGGGCAAUGCCCGCAAGGGUGACCCAGCAACGCCGCGUGGAGGAUGAAUGUCGUAAGAUUGUAAACUCCUGUUAGAGGGGAAGAAUAGUACCGGUUGGACCGGUAUAUGACUGUACCCUCAGAGAAAGCCCCGGCUAACUACGUGCCAGCAGCCGCGGUAAUACGUAGGGGGCAAGCGUUGUCCGGAUUUACUGGUUGUAAAGGGCGCGCAGGCGGGAUAAAAAGUCAGUGGUGAAAUCCUACAGCUUAACUGUAGAACUGCCUUUUAUACUUUUAUUCUUGAGUUCGGGAGAGAGAGACGGAAUUCCAGGUGUAGUGGUGAAAUACGUAGAUAUCUGGAAGAACACCAGUUGCGAAGGCGGUCUCUUGGUCCGACACUGACGCUGAGGCGCGAAAGCGUGGGGAGCAAACA
Molecule: ribosomal RNA, 422 nt
Filed under: uncultured bacterium
Lineage: Bacteria
Description: bacterial SSU rRNA
Rfam family: Bacterial small subunit ribosomal RNA
Source: RNAcentral